ACUAAUUUGGCAGAAAAGUGCAAUGGAUUUAGGAUCUAUAAAUGUAGAAUAUAUUCUAUAAGUAGUA
RNAcentral lists this transfer RNA (67 nucleotides) under Margattea limbata. RNAcentral's name for it is "tRNA-Leu". It matches the Rfam family "tRNA". From Rfam's summary of the family: Transfer RNA (tRNA) molecules are approximately 80 nucleotides in length. Their secondary structure includes four short double-helical elements and three loops (D, anti-codon, and T loops). Further hydrogen bonds mediate the characteristic L-shaped molecular structure. tRNAs have two regions of fundamental functional importance: the anti-codon, which is responsible for specific mRNA codon recognition, and the 3' end, to which the tRNAs corresponding amino acid is attached (by aminoacyl-tRNA synthetases). tRNAs cope with the degeneracy of the genetic code in two manners: having more than one tRNA (with a specific anti-codon) for a particular amino acid; and 'wobble' base-pairing, i.e. permitting non-standard base-pairing at the 3rd anti-codon position. The record is from RNAcentral. Lineage: Eukaryota; Metazoa; Arthropoda; Insecta; Blattodea; Pseudophyllodromiidae.